ACGAACCCUUCGGGGUGAGUGGCGCACGGGUGCGUAACACGUGGGAAUAUACACAUAGGUAAGGAAUAACACAGAGAAAUUUGUGCUAAUACCUUAUAAUAACUCCGGUUCAAAGAUUUAUCGCCUAUGGAUUAGCCCGCGCUAGAUUAGUUUGUUGGUGAGGUAAAAGCUCACCAAGACUACGAUCUAUAGCUGGUCUUAGAGGAUGAUCAGCCACACUGGAACUGAGACACGGUCCAGACUCCUACGGGAGGCAGCAGUGAGGAAUAUUGCGCAAUGGAGGAAACUCUGACGCAGCCAUGCCGCGUGAAUGAAGAAGGCCCUAGGGUUGUAAAAUUCUUUCAGAUGCGAAGAUAAUGACGGUAACAUCAGAAGAAGCUCCGGCUAAAUUCGUGCCAGCAGCCGCGGUAAUACGAAUGGAGCGAGCGUUGUUCGGAAUCAUUGGGCGUAAAGCGCACGCAGGCGGUUUGUUAAGCUAGAUGUGAAAGCCCCGGGCUCAACCUGGGAAUAGCAUUUAGAACUGGCAGACUAGAGUCUUGGAGAGGGGAGUGGAAUUUCUGGUGUAGCGGUGAAAUGCGUAGAUAUCAGAAGGAACAUCAGUGGCGAAGGCGACUCCCUG
Molecule: ribosomal RNA, 619 nt
Filed under: uncultured bacterium
Lineage: Bacteria
Description: bacterial SSU rRNA
Rfam family: Bacterial small subunit ribosomal RNA
Source: RNAcentral